Molecule: ribosomal RNA, 812 nt
Filed under: Heterotruncatella longissima
Lineage: Eukaryota; Fungi; Ascomycota; Sordariomycetes; Amphisphaeriales; Sporocadaceae
Description: partial 28S ribosomal RNA
Rfam family: Eukaryotic large subunit ribosomal RNA
Source: RNAcentral
CAGGGAUUGCCUUAGUAACGGCGAGUGAAGCGGCAAUAGCUCAAAUUUGAAAUCUGGCGCUUGCGUCCGAGUUGUAAUUUGUAGAGGAUGAUUUUGGUUAGGUACCUUUCGAGUUCCUUGGAACAGGACGCCUUAGAGGGUGAGAGCCCCGUACGAUUGGAUGCCGAGCCUUUGUAAAUCUCCUUCGACGAGUCGAGUAGUUUGGGAAUGCUGCUCUAAAUGGGAGGUAAAUUUCUUCUAAAGCUAAAUACCGGCCAGAGACCGAUAGCGCACAAGUAGAGUGAUCGAAAGAUGAAAAGCACUUUGAAAAGAGGGUUAAAUAGCACGUGAAAUUGUUGAAAGGGAAGGAUUUAUGACCAGACUUUUUCUAGGAGAAUCAUCCGGUGUUCUCACCGGUGCACUUCUUCUAGUUUAGGCCAGCAUCGACUUUCGGCGGCGGAUAAAAGCUUCAGGAAUGUAGCUCCUCUCGGGGAGUGUUAUAGCCUGUUGUAUAAUACGCUGCUGGGGGUCGAGGUACGCGCUUCUGCAAGGAUGCUGGCGUAAUGGUUAUCAAUCACCCGUCUUGAAACACGGACCAAGGAGUCGAACAUUUAUGCGAGUGUUUGGGUGUUAAACCCUCACGCGUAAUGAAAGUGAACGGAGGUGAGAGCCCUUACGGGUGCAUCAUCGACCGAUCCUGAAGUUUUCGGAUGGAUUUGAGUAAGAGCAUAACUGUUCGGACCCGAAAGAUGGUGAACUAUGCGUGGAUAGGGUGAAGCCAGAGGAAACUCUGGUGGAGGCUCGCAGCGGUUCUGACGUGCAAAUCGAUCGUC